UGCAGCAUUAAUAUGGGUAAUUAAGGGGCAUGAAUUGUGGAUCAUUAUGAAGACCCAUUUGGUCGUUUUAGGCAUUUUAUCCCUUUUUUCCAAAAUUACCCUUCGUGUAAUUCAAUUUCGGAGUUUAUGACUUGCGGGGAGGGGGUAGAGCGGUUCCCGAGGCGUCCGUUUGUCUUUUGAGUCAUUGGUUCAAGGCAAACUCUUUUUGGAAAUCGAAGUGCGCGAGUGAGUUCGUAGCGUGUUUUAUGACAAGUUUGCAUUUUUGGCUUGUGUCAGUAGGACUCCGAACGAGUUUCGAGUGUUGGAUUGGAUUUGGUAAAAACCAGAUUUUUCUGUUUUUGGUGCAACUGCACCUGCAUGCCCGUUUCAUCUUGAGAAGGUCCGCAGGUACGAGCUUAAGCAAGGCAGGUAGGGUGUCGCUCCUGCGCUGGUUGGUCUGUUGGCGCAUGGCCGCUUCUGCGCACUUUCUUACGCUUCUGCGAAAUUUUGGGAGGGUUAGUAGAUGCUGCUUCUGCGGAUUAUUUCCUGCCAAUGUGAGGCUGCACCUGCGAGCCUCUGCUCGCUUCUGCGGAAAUCGAUGAAAACAAAACCCUUUUAAUAUCUUUUUCCCCAAAUUCGAACCCCAUUAUUUCUAAUUCAUUUUGAGAGCUAGAGAGCUCGAUGUUAGGUAUUUUCAAGGGAUUCUUCAACCAUCAUCCUUGGGACUUUGAUCAUUAUGAGGCUCUCUGCAAAGGAAAGGUGUAGGCUUGAUUGUUCGUGACUCCCGCUCGGCCUUCGAGAUUUUGAUCCAGGUACCAAUUCGAGACCUCGUGGCUGAUACCGAGGUGGUCUUUUGGGAGACUUCAGGGUGAGCCAUUAGAUCCAUCAGCAACCCUGGACUUCUUCCUAUCUUAUAUUCAUAUCUUCCAUUACUUUCGAGACAAUUUCUUGUAUUUCAGUAUUUCAACUAUUGUAAUAAUCUUUAGAAGCUCUUGUACAAGUCAAGACCAAGUUUUUGGGUUCUAGCUAUUAAAUACUUCCUCACUUAC
Lycium barbarum (goji berry) is the source of this 1028-nucleotide long non-coding RNA. RefSeq lists it as uncharacterized. NCBI's taxonomy places the organism in Eukaryota, Viridiplantae, Streptophyta, Magnoliopsida, Solanales, Solanaceae. The transcript is spliced from 3 exons. The record is from RefSeq and is a predicted model, not a curated record.